RNAcentral lists this ribosomal RNA (454 nucleotides) under uncultured bacterium. Its description in RNAcentral is "partial 16S ribosomal RNA". It matches the Rfam family "Bacterial small subunit ribosomal RNA", at positions 28 to 507 of the family's 1533-position model. The record is from RNAcentral.
GAUGAACGCUGACAGAAUGCUUAACACAUGCAAGUCAACUUGAACUUCGGUUUGGGUGGCGGACGGGUGAGUAACGCGUAAAGAACUUGCCUCACAGCUAGGGACAACAUUUGGAAACGAAUGCUAAUACCUGAUAUUAUGAUUAUAUGGCAUCGUAUAAUUAUGAAAGCUAUAUGCGCUGUGUGAGAGCUUUGGGUCCCAUUAGCUAGUUGGAGAGGUAACAGCUUACCAAGGCGAUGAUGGGUAGCCGGCCUGAGAGGGUGAUCGGCCACGAGGGAACUGAGACACGGCCCUUACUCCUACGGGAGGCAGCAGUGGGGAAUAUUGGACAAGGGACCGAGAGUCUGAUCCAGCAAUUCUGUGUGGACGAUGAAGUUUUUCGGAAUGUAAAGUGCUUUCAGUUGAGAAGAAAAAAAUGACGGUACCAACAGAAGGAGCUAGGGCUAAAUACGUG